UACGGAGGGUGCAAGCGUUAUCCGGAUUCACUGGGUUUAAAGGGUGCGUAGGUGGGUUGGUAAGUCAGUGGUGAAAUCCCCGAGCUUAACUUGGGAACUGCCAUUGAUACUAUCUGUCUUGAAUAUCGUGGAGGUAAGCGGAAUAUGUCAUGUAGCGGUGAAAUGCUUAGAUAUGACAUAGAACACCCAUUGCGAAGGCAGCUUACUACACGAUCAUUGACGCUGAGGCACGAAAGCGUGGGGAGCAAACAGG
RNAcentral lists this ribosomal RNA (253 nucleotides) under uncultured bacterium. RNAcentral's name for it is "partial 16S ribosomal RNA". It matches the Rfam family "Bacterial small subunit ribosomal RNA", at positions 524 to 776 of the family's 1533-position model. The record is from RNAcentral.